This 818-nucleotide ribosomal RNA is filed under the name uncultured eukaryote. Its description in RNAcentral is "SSU rRNA". It matches the Rfam family "Eukaryotic small subunit ribosomal RNA", at positions 1000 to 1831 of the family's 1831-position model. The record is from RNAcentral.
GAAGACGAUUAGAUACCGUGUAGUCUCAACCAUAAAACGAUGCCGACUCGGGAUUGGCGGGUGUUUAUUCGAUGACUCCGCCAGCACCGUAUGAGAAAUCAAAGUUUUUGGGUUCCGGGGGGAGUAUGGUCGCAAGGCUGAAACUUAAAGGAAUUGACGGAAGGGCACCACCAGGCGUGGAGCCUGCGGCUCAAUUUGACUCAACACGGGAAAACUUACCAGGUCCAGACGUAGGAAGGAUUGACAGAUUGAUAGCUCUUUCUUGAUUCUUAUGGGUGGUGGUGCAUGGCCGUUCUUAGUUGGUGGGUUGCCUUGUCAGGUUGAUUCCGGUAACGAACGAGACCUCAGCCUGCUAAAUAGUCACGGCUGCAUCCGCAGCUGGCAAACUUCUUAGAGGGACUGUUGGCGACUAGCCAACGGAAGUAUGAGGCAAUAACAGGUCUGUGAUGCCCUUAGAUGUUCUGGGCCGCACGCGCGCUACACUGAUACGUUCAACAAGUUCCUUGGCUCGAAAGGUCUGGGUAAUCUUUGAAACCGUAUCGUGAUGGGGAUAGAACAUUGCAACUAUUGUUCUUCAACGAGGAAUGCCUAGUAAUCGCGAGUCAUCAUCUCGCGUUGAUUACGUCCCUGCCCUUUGUACACACCGCCCGUCGCUCCUACCGAUUGGAUGUGCUGGUGAAGACUUCGGAUCGGCCACGCUAACUAGGUCUUCCUAGUUGUGGGGUUGAGAAGUUGUUUAAACCCUCCCAUUUAGAGGAAGGAGAAGUCGUAACAAGGUUUCCGUAGGUGAACCUGCAGAAGGAUCAAAGGGCGAAUUC